UACGAAGGGGGCGAGCGUUGUUCGGAGUUACUGGGCGUAAAGGGCGCGUAGGCGGCGCUCCAAGUUAGGCGUGAAAGCCCCGGGCUCAACCUGGGAAUUGCGCUUAAGACUGGAGUGCUCGAGUGCGGAAGAGGUGAGUGGAAUUCCCAGUGUAGAGGUGAAAUUCGUAGAUAUUCGCAAGAACACCAGUGGCGAAGGCGGCUCACUGGCCCGGUACUGACGCUGAGGUGCGAAAGCGUGGGGAGCAAACAGG
RNAcentral lists this ribosomal RNA (253 nucleotides) under uncultured bacterium. RNAcentral describes it as "partial 16S ribosomal RNA". It matches the Rfam family "Bacterial small subunit ribosomal RNA", at positions 524 to 776 of the family's 1533-position model. The record is from RNAcentral.